Molecule: ribosomal RNA, 492 nt
Filed under: uncultured bacterium
Lineage: Bacteria
Description: partial 16S ribosomal RNA
Rfam family: Bacterial small subunit ribosomal RNA
Source: RNAcentral
AGUGAACGCUGGCGGUAGGCCUAACACAUGCAAGUCGAACGGCAGCACAGUAAGAGCUUGCUCUUACGGGUGGCGAGUGGCGGACGGGUGAGGAAUACAUCGGAAUCUACUUUUUCGUGGGGGAUAACGUAGGGAAACUUACGCUAAUACCGCAUACGACCUACGGGUGAAAGCAGGGGAUCUUCGGACCUUGCGCGAUUGAAUGAGCCGAUGUCGGGUUAGCUAGUUGGCGGGGUAAAGGCCCACCAAGGCGACGAUCCGUAGCUGGUCUGAGAGGAUGAUCAGCCACACUGGAACUGAGACACGGUCCAGACUCCUACGGGAGGCAGCAGUGGGGAAUAUUGGACAAUGGGCGCAAGCCUGAUCCAGCCAUACCGCGUGGGUGAAGAAGGCCUUCGGGUUGUAAAGCCCUUUUGUUGGGAAAGAAAAGCAGCAGGUUAAUACCCCGCUGUUCUGGCGGUACCCAAAGAAUAAGCACCGGCUAACUUCGUG